RNAcentral lists this ribosomal RNA (224 nucleotides) under uncultured bacterium. Its description in RNAcentral is "partial 16S ribosomal RNA". It matches the Rfam family "Bacterial small subunit ribosomal RNA", at positions 123 to 334 of the family's 1533-position model. The record is from RNAcentral.
AACGUGCCCUUCGGUGGGGGAUAACCAUGGGAAACUGUGGCUAAUACCGCACUCGCUUCACAGUGCCAAGUGCUGUGAAGGAAAGAUUGCCUCUGCAUAUGCAAUCGCCGAAGGAGCGGCCCGCGUCCCAUUAGCUAGUUGGUGGGGUAAUGGCCUACCAAGGCAACGAUGGGUAGCCGGCCUGAGAGGGUGAUCGGCCACACUGGGACUGAGACACGGCCCAG